Molecule: long non-coding RNA, 716 nt
Organism: Hemiscyllium ocellatum (epaulette shark)
Lineage: Eukaryota; Metazoa; Chordata; Chondrichthyes; Orectolobiformes; Hemiscylliidae
Exons: 4
Source: RefSeq, a predicted model, not a curated record
UGUUAAAUCCUAACCAUAUUGCAAGACAUUUUCCCUCCCAAAACGGUUGGGAUUAAUGUCAAGGCCUGCAAGUGGGAGUGCAAAUUGCGUCACAAGAUUUUAAGAAUCCAGAAACCCAAAUUCUAAAGUGGGGCCCCCAGCUAAAGGUAUAACGCCAUCAGGCAGGAACAACGUGACCUGAAACAGGAAAGUGAGGCACAGUUCAUCACUCGACCAGUUCAAACAAUUGUCCACUAACCCAGCCAAGUGACUGUUUUUGGGUCACUUCUAAAGCAUGACCACUUUGGCCUGAAGUCUCAUCUGUUUACAUAUAGACAAAAGGCCUCUCAAAAUCCUUUUCAUCUUUGGACCAAACCAGACUGAUCGGCAAGGGCACAUGAGAUGUAGACCGAGAGAGAGAAGAAAGACGGAUGCUUUCAGCUUGAAGCUUCUGGAAGAUUUUCUCUUCUUGCUCUGAAUGCUUGUCAGCACACUGCAGCACAACCAAUCAGAGGGCAGUUGUCAGGCAGAAUUGGUGCCAUUCAAUCUGAAAUUGUUCCUCCCCACUUCUUCAAAUAUUAAUACGAUAUUGCACACUGCAACAAGAUGAGUAUUUGAUUUUCAAAUUGCAAAACUCUAUAAAUAUUAGUAAUCCAGUUUCCAUUUCAUUUAUAGUUUCAAGAAAAGAAAAUAUAUGGUUUUGAAUACUACCCUGUGGGAAACUUUUAAUGGCUUGA